CCCAUCAAAUAAUAAUAAUUAUUUCCCCUUUCUAGAAGAAAAUAAUAAUUCACUUUGCAAAGAAGCUGUGGCUCCAAAUCCACAAGUAAUUGCAAAGAGGCCUGGAGCAAAUUUUUUGAGCAGGACACUUGGUCAUGAAUCCUUAAGCCGACAAAGGUGCACACCUACAAGUAAUUGCAAAGAGUCCUGGAGCAAAUAUUUGAGCAUAAAAGGAAUCCACACAAGUGCCUAAGCAAUUGACCAUUCAAGGAAACAACAUUUAAUCUAAACAUCUAUAAUCCACACUUGUCUUCAAGGGUUUAAAAACAUCUCAAAAUCAAGAAAAUCACAUUCAAAAUUUGUGCUUAACAGCAAGGAAAUAAAUUCUCUGCCUGAAUAUAUAUUUCUUCAAAAUAUAUACGAAGCACUCAACGCUUCUUAGAGACACCAACAGUCUUCCCUCUGCGACCAGUAGUCUUGGUGUGCUGACCACGGACACGAAGGCCCCAGUAGUGCCUCAGACCACGGUGGUUCCUGCAUCACAGUAUUAUAAAUGUUAGUCUGCUACCCCAUGCCCUCAUAGCAAGAAACUAAACCACAAAAGUAAACUGAAUCAACCAAGAUGCAAACAACUUCUCAAGACUUUGUUAACCCACAGCAAAUAAAACAAAGAAAAGUAACAGAGUAGACAAAAGUAAGUUAUUUGACUUUGCAUUUUUUCCUUUUGGCACAAACCUAAUGACAAAUGAUAUAUCUUAUUCACUCCCUAUGGUUAUUAUAUUAUGUCUGGCGGAUUACAUAGGCAAUAAAUGACAUAAUAUGAUGAUUUUCAAAUUUCUAAAUUCUUUGAGAGCACUAGACUCUUCCCAUCUUAACCCAAAUGAACAUCAUCAAGAUACUGUAAAAAAGACUUCACAUAUGACAAUAACCUGCAUACAUACUUCCUUGAAAGCUAGAACGAGUCAGCAGAAAAAUCAAGGAAAGACAAAUGUGCAUUCCAACAAAAUUGCCCAGAUGCUUAAUAACAAAAAAGAAAGACCACAAACCCAUUUCUAAUAAUUCAAAUACACAUGCUAUAGAAGAGAAUGUCUCAAAUAAAUUGUAGUCAUUCAGUCAUAUUCUCGAAAGUGCUCACUAAAAAUGUGCAACCCAUUUCUAAUAGUUGAAGGAUAUAUAAAGAGUACCAAGGCAAACAUAGAAUCAAAUAAAACGGCAACAUUCAUUCCUAGAUAGAGUUGGCUAGAUCAUAUCUUAUAAAGCAUCAAAUACUUAGCAUGUACAAUCCAAAAGGCAAAAAAUAAUUUUAUUGCAAAACAGUAAGAACAAAGAAAAUAACCUGAUUUUCUUCAAGCGUUCCAAGUCAUCUCUCAAUUUCAUGUCAAGAGCAUUAGACACAACCUGCGAGUACUUUCCAUCCUUGUAAUCCUUCUGCCUGUUCAAAAACCAGUCUGGGAUUUUAAACUGCCUGGGGUUCGCAACAAUGGUCAUGAGAUUGUCCAGCUCCUGUGCAGUCAAUUCACCAGCCCUAAUAACAACAAGAAGCAAAUCAAAUAAGCCACCAAAAACUGAACACCAUUCUACAACAUCCCUUUGCCACAGGACUACACUAUAUACACAUUUCCAACAUUGGCACAGAAGACUACUUAAUCCAAAGUAUUAUAAUAAAUCAUAACUCAGAAUUUUCUUCUACAAGAACAUUAAUCUAUCUACGUCUUGCCUCCCUAAAUCGUUUCCAAAUGAAAAACAAGAAAACCAAGUAAUAUCUUGUCUAACCUUUGUACCAUAAAGCAUGUUAGUUAUCCACAACUGAGCAUAAAAUCGACAUAAACUACCAAAAACACACCAGUUCCUUGUCUAAAGUUUUCAAUGAAAAACAGACCUCUUGUUCAUGUCAACAUCAGCCUUCUUGCAGACAAUGUUAGCGAAACGCCUUCCGAUACCCUUGAUGGAGGUCAAAGCAAACAUAAUCUUCUGCUUUCCAUCGACGUUGGUGUUCAGAACACGCAAAAUGUGCUGAAAAUCUUCGUUGGCGACCAGAGACUACAUGAAACAUAAAAAAAAGAAAAAAUUAAUGAAGACACAACCACCAAAUUUUCGAAAAAACAAAAAAAAAAAACCAAUUCAAAUCAAGCAAAACCAAUUUUAUAAACGCUAAUAUCAAACCAUAAAAACAUAUACACGAGGCAUUUUUAGAUCAAAAGAUAAAAACCUCUUAAGUCGGAUCAAGAAUUAAAAAGCAUAUAAAGCUACAGAAGAGAUGAAGUAAUGAAUUAAUGGGAAUAGAGUAGUAAAGAUUGGGUAUUUGGAGGAGAAAGAUGGAACCCUAAUUACCAUUUUUGCGAGAGGACGGAAGAGGCUCUGGGGUACUGGCGAGAAGAAGCGAAUAACUAACGCAGGCCAAGCUAGGGUUUUUGUAAGGAAAGGUCAAUUAAUAUAUUUUUUAAAAAUAAUAAAAUUCUGAGAUAAAAUAUAAGGGUGUUAUAUGUACCUAGAAAAAAUAUAGGGGAGUUAUGAAUAUAUAUGAAUAAUUUUUAUAUUUUAUAAUAUUUAAUGUAUUUUUUAAUAUUCAAUAUUCAUAUUUAUAUUGUUAUAUUUUUAUCUUUUGCUUUUAUUUAGUGUACGUCAUUUUUAUAUAUUAAGUUCAUCCCUUCUAUUUAUAUAAAUUCAUUUUCGAUCCAUCUACGUGUGUCUAUAAAUAAAGACAUUAUAGUUGAUGGUAGAUAUAAGAACAAAAAAUGAAAUAAAAGAUCUUCUUACAUUCCUACUACUUUUUUCUAAUAUUCACUUUCAAAGUUAUAUUUUAUAACACGUUAACAGCACGAGGUUGUAACCAACUGAAAAGGUAAUUUUUUUUAAUUCUUCAACCAAUUAUAUUUUAGAUUUGUGUACUGUCCAAUCGGCCUAAAGUCGACAAUGGACCUUGAGCCUCUUUCCGUCUCUUGAAGCAAUGGUGGGUCUCAAAAAAUCCCUUAAGUUGUCAAAAUUAAUUUAUGGGUCUAAUUUCCAUACGCAAAAUUAUGACAAAUAUUGAAAUGCCCAAGUUUCAUGUCCUAGAAGUGAGUGGAAGCAAUUAUCUGUCCCGAUACCUUGAUGUGGAGAUACAUCUUCAAGGGUAAGGUCUUGUAAAUGCAAUUAUUAAAGACAAGAACGCAUAGAACAAAGAUAAGGCAAAUGCACUAAUUUUCCUUUUGUCAGCAUUUGCAUGAGAACUUGAAGACUCAAUAUUUAUCCGUUCAAGACCUUAAGAUCCUGUGGACAAGGUUAAAAGUGAGGUAUGAUCAUACCAAGACUAUUAUCCUCCCUCAAGCAUAGUAUGACUGGUAGCAUCUCAGGAUGCAAGAUUUCAAAUUAGUGUCCGACUAUAACUCAUCCUUAUUUGAUAUUGUAUAUCUGCUAGAGUUAUACUAUAUUAAGCUCACUGAAUCAGAGUUAUUAGAGAAAACUUUCUCCACCUUCCAUACUUCAAACUUCAAAUAUUGUAUUGCAAUAGCAAUACUAGCAACGUCAAUUUAAGGCAUACUCGGAGUUGAUUUUUGUCCUCCUAACUGCCAAGUAGACUAAUGAACUGCUGCUCAAGAACUAUGAUCUUAGACUUGUUGGCUUGAAAGCAUUGCUUGAAGCAAAUGCUAGCUCUAGUAAAAAUAUAGGUUGAUUUAAUGGCCAUAAGUGUAGGCAAAGGCAUAACCCACGUUGGGGUGAUGGGAGGCUGCCCUAGGUAAUCCAAUCUUGGCUCGAAUCAUGGCAACGACAAGAAACCCAAGAAAAAGCAUGAUGAAAAUAUCUACCAUUGGUAUGGCAUGGCUGGACACUGGUCGUAUACUUGUCGUAUGUCAAAGCAUUUUGCUGAUCUGUACCAAGCAUCUCCAAAAGAUAAGAGCAAGUGUGUUGAAACUCAUGCUAGUGAAAAUCCUACUGCUAUUUAAUGACUCCUCCUACUCUUGUAUAAGCAAAAACAUCUUUGGAAGUCUCUGAUUUCUUAGAGGACCUUGAUUACCAAGAUAAGGCAUCAAAUUAGUGAAAGAUGUUGAUUUCUCACGUAAGUGCAUGUAUCGUUAACAAGUACUAUAAUAAUAAGUAGAAUUCGUUCCCACAGAGAAUUGAAGUAAUUUCUAAUUGCUAACUACUAAAAUUUAAACAUGUUAAUCUUAUCCAAACAACUUAAUUAUUAAAAAGAAAAAUUGAAACUAAUAACUAAAACUAAUCUAAAAUCUAUCAACACAAUUAUUUUGUUAAAUUUGAGUGAGUACCAAAUUUAAGAUUAUGAUAUCUUUCAAUACUUUAUUUGGAUAUUCUCUCUCUCUUUCUCUCUCUCUCUCUCUCUCUCUUAACUCAAUUUAAUAGAUUAAGUUAUUAACCUAGAGCCCUAAAUUUUUUACAAGUCUUUGUCGAGUUUCUUAUACAAAUAUCUCUCUUAAUUAAUUUACUGUUUGUCUAUGCAAAUUAAAUUGAAAAAAGAUUCAUAAAGUUCGUGCUUUAAUUUUGGCUACGUAUGACUUAUAGGUGUAUGUCUACCCUAUAUGCAAAUCAAACCACCUAAUCAACUAAGUGUAUUCGAUCAUACGUUAUUUUAUUCAAAAUCUACUUAAACCUCUUUCAUUAAGGUUUAACCUAGGUUUUCAAUUCAAUCUAAUUGAUGAUAAGACAAUUAGAAGCAUUAAUAACAGAAUAAAAUAAACAACUUAAAUCCAUCAAAUAUAAGUAAAAGAGAGAUAAAUAAAUCAGACUACAUAUUGAGUUCAAUCAUAAUCUUAGAUAAAUGACUUAGUUCCUCAUUAAGUCAUACAUCAUCAUCAAAUAAAAUUUAAAUAUUAAAAACAAAAACAAGGAAAAAAAAGAAAAAAAAAGAUAGGAAAACUCAAGAAUUGUAAUUUUGAUCUCCAAGUCUCCUUGCAUCCUUCAAAUUCUUCUCAGUUUCGAUAACUUUGUGGGUUGAUUCUUAGCUUUCAAUCCGGUGUUUAUUUUUUUUUAAAGUCCUCCAAAAGUUGUUUUUAUAGGGCUUUGAAGUUAGGCCAAGUUGGGUGAAGAAAGAAGUUAAUUCCAAAUAAGAUUUUCUCAUCAGACUACAUGGGUCGCGACCUACCUCCUCCAAGGCUAUGGCCUUGACCAUUUAAAUAGUAGCAAUCAUAAUUGUUCUAGCACUACUGCAGUGCUUCAACUUCGACAAGAUUUUUCAUUAUCUUUUAGGUCGAACUAGGCAAAGUGGUAAACAUAAAAGCUGUAUCUUUUUCUUUCCAAUGGUUCAAGAAUCACUUCAUUUUGAGCUCCGUAGAGAGAGUUAUAGAUGAAAUACUGAAAUAUGUGCAGUUGAGGUAUACACUUUAAAAUUACUCUUCUUCUUUCAUUAAAAUUCUUCUUUCAUCAAAUACCUAUAAAAGCACAAAUAAAUCAAUAACAACCUAUCUUAAUCACAUUAACACCAAAUUAAACAUAAAAUUAACUAAAAUUAGAUUAACUCACCUAAAUUACUAAUUUAAAAUAUUUUAAAUAAAACUUACUAAUUUCCAUGCAUUAUUACAAAAACUAAGUCAAAUUACUAUCAAAAUUAAACCCAAAUAACUUUAUAUCAGAGAGUUAUUAGAGGACAUCCCAGACUUAAGGUUUGAGGAUUUUACUCUUUUUCUCAUUCUUUUCUCUUCGAAUGUAUUAUCCUCGAUUGAUUAUUCUCAAGAAAAAACAAUAUGGUCAUUUAUAAAAAAAUUAUUAUGAAAUUGAUUCCAUAUUUGUUAUUUAAAAUUUUUCAAUCCCAUGGCUAAUUUGUAAAUUUUCAUAAUACUUAACACUUGAAGUUGUCAAUACAAGUGCAAAUGGGAAUCACCGAGAAAAGGGAAGAUGUUUGUUUGCUUAAUAGUGCAAUGACACAUACCAGACUUUGUGGCAAUAACUUUUUCUCAAGUGUGACAUUAUGCAAGACAAAUGUCCAUACAGUAGUAGGUUCGUUGGGAUUAUUGAUGGCUCCAAAAAUGCCACAAUUGUUCUACCAAAUGGAACACCUUGCAUAUUGAGGAUGCAUUGCUAAGUAGUAGAUUAAAGAGGAAUCUACUUAGCUUCAAAGAUGUUUGCCAUAAUGGGUACCAUCGUGAGACAAUUUAUGAGCAAAAUAAGGAAUGUCUCUGCAUCACUUCUUAUAAGAUAGGCCAGAAAACCAUCCAUGAGAAGUUGGAAGCUUCCACUAUAGGAUUGUAUUGUGUCACUAUUAAAGCUAUUGAAUCUUACGCUAACCAUGUUCUGGAAACUAGUAAAUCUCAAUGAGUUUGGAAUUUGGCAUGAUCGUUUAGGUCACUUGGGAGCUACGAUGAUGCGUAUUAUAAUCCAAAAUACUAGAAAACACCCUUUAAAGGAUAAAAAGGCUUUGUUGUCUAAAGAUUAUACCUACAAAAGUUGUUCAUAAAGAGAGCUCAUUACUAAACCUUCUAUGACAAAGGUGAAUAAUGAAUCUACUUUUUUCUUGCAAAGAAUCAAGGGUAUUAUUUGUGGAUCAAUACAACCAAGUAGGCCGUUCUAAUAUUUCAUGGUAUUAAUAGACGCGUCCUAUAAAUGGUCCCAUAUUUGCUUGUUAUCUAAACGCAAUGUCGCCUUUGCACGUUUUCUUGUGCAAAUUAUAAAACUCCGAGUACAUUUCCCUAAUUAUCCAAUCAAGAGCAUAAGAUGGAUAAUGCUGGUGAAUUUACAUCAAAAAGCUUUGAUGCUUAUUGUGCUUCACUAGGAAUGAAGGUUAAGCACUCAGUUCCAUAUGUUUCAUACUUAAAAUGGAUUGGCAGAAUCCCUCAUUAAAUGCAUCCAAAUUAUAUCUCAUACUCUAUUAUUGAGGACAAAGCUCAACUAUUCAACAUGGGGUCAUGUUGUUUUGCAUGCAAUGACAUUAAUAGGAUUGCACCUUACUAUUAGUCUCUCACAGUCUCUCGUACAGUUGGUUCUAGGUUAUGAACUAGACAUUUCACAUUUCACAUUUACGCACCUUUGGUUGGGCUGUGCACGUGUUUGUAACACCAUCAAAAAAGACAAAAAUGGGUCCUCAAUGUCAUUUAGCAUUUACGUUAAGUUUGAUUCACCAUCCAUUAUUAGGUUCUUGGAACUAACGACGAGUGAUUUUUUUACCACCAAAUUCACAUAUUAUUAUUUCAAUGAAACAAUGUUUUCACCAAUUGGGAUACCUAAAGCAUCCAUGGCUAAGAAGCAAAAACCAAUUGAGAUUCCUUGGAAUGAGAAAAAUCUAUCCCAUUUAGAUCCAACUCCUAAAUGUGAAAAUAAGGAACAACGUAUAAUCUAUUUACCAGCUAUUGUCAAUAAACUUCCUGACCAAUUUAAUGAUGCUACCAAGGUUACAAAGUCUUAUAUUCCAACUAUGAAUAUUCCAACUAAGAUUGUUAUUCUUGAAGAACAGGUUGAAAUGGAUCAAAAUGGCUCACGCUUGAAGUGUGAAAGAUCAAUAGGACCAAAAAACACUAUCUCUCGAAAACGAAGGGGGAGAAAUCAAGAAUCCACUCUAAAAGAGCCUAGUGUUGAGCUUGCUUUGGAAGAGCCUAUUGCCCCUGAAUAGGCAUGAACCCAUGAAAGGACAAUUGACUUCAGGAAUAUUGAGAUUUUCAUUACAAAUUUUAAUGUGAUUUGGGAUCAAAAUGAGAUAAUCCUCGAUGAUGCUUUUGCAUUCUCAGUUGCUCAUGAGAUUAUAAAUGAUGAUUAUGGACCACGAUUUAUUAUUGAAUGUCAUCAAAGGCAGGAUUAAACCAAGUGGGAGGAAACAAUUUAGACUAAAUUGGCUUCUCUAGCUAAACAAAAGGUUUUUAGGUUUGGAGCUAGAACCCUGGACAAUGUAAAGCCCAUUGGAUACAAGUGGGUCUUUGUUUGAAAACAAAAUGAAAAAAACAAGGUCGUGAGGUAUAAAGCUCGACUCGUUGCCCAAGGCUUCUCUCAAAGACCUAGGACUGAUUAUGAUGAGACAUAAUCACUAGUGAUCGAUAUGAUUACCUUUAGUUUCCUUAUUAGCCUAGUAGUUUCUGAAAAAUUAGAAAUACGUCUUAUGGAUGUUGUGACGGCAUAUCUAUAUGGUUCAUUAGACUCCGAUAUUUAUAUGAAAAUUUUCUAGGGAUUCAAAAUGCUUGAAGUAUAUAUUCUUUGCAACUUAUUCUCAAUAAAGUCACAAAGAUCUUUGUAUGGGUUAAAGUAAUUCGGCUGCAUGUGGUAUCAACGCUUAAGCGAGUACCUAAUUAAGGAAGAGUACAAAAAUGAUUAUAUCUGCCUAUGCGUGUUUAUUAAGAAAUUGAAAAUCAGAUUUGCUAUCAUAGCAGUUUAUGUCAAUGAUAUGAAUUUGAUUGGAACUCUAGAAGAGUUAUCAAAAACUACUGAAUAUUUGAAAAGGGAUUUGAAAGUUAAAGAUUUAGGUAAAACCAAACUUUGUCCUAGUUUAGAGCUUGAGCACAAAGCAAAUGAAAUACUUGACCAUCAGUCAGCAUAUAUUGAGAGAUUGCUUAGACAUUUUAACAUGGACAAGGCUCACCUAUUGAGCACCCUUAUGUGUGUCAGGUCUUUUGAUCCCAAAAGGACCCAUUUCAUCUUAGAGAAUAUGAUGAGGAGAUUCUUGAUCCUGAAGUAACAUAUCUCAAUGCAAUUGAGGCUUUAAUGUACUUAGUAUAAUAUACAAGAUCGAAUAUCGCUUUUGCGGUAAAUUUAUUAGCAUGUUUUAGUUCUAAGCUAACGUGGAGACACUAAAAUGGAAUAAUACGUAUCUUUUGUUAUCUUUGAGGAACCAUAGAUUUUGGAUUAUAUUAUUCUAAGGAUUCCACUAACUUUGGUUUAGUUGGAUACGUUGAUACGGGAUAUAAAUUUGAUUCGCACAAAGCUCUCUCUUAAAUAGGUUAUUUAUUUUUCUACAAUGGCACCGCCAUUUCUUGACGCUCUAUUAAGCAAACGCUGUAGCUACAUCCUUCAACCACUCCGAAAUUAUCGCUCUAUAUGAAGCUGAAAGAGAGUGUGUUUGGUUAAGAUAUGUUAUGACGUAUAUUCAUAAUUCUUAUUGUUUAAUAGUGGUUAUAAAUUCUCCCACUAUAAUUUACGAAGAUAAUACUGUUUGUGUUGCACAAGUAGGGAAAGAUAUAUUAAAGGUGACAAGACCAAGCAUAUCGUGUCGAAAUUUUUCUACAUUUACGAACUCUAGAAAAGUUGACUAGUUGAUGUUAAACAGAUUCACUCCACCAAUAAUCUUGCAGAUAUUUUUACCAAAUCAUUGUCAAUGUCAACAUUUAAGAAAUUAGUACAUGGCAUUGGAACGCAGCAAGUUGAUUAGAUGAAAGAUUGAUUUGAUUCUGAAGUGGCAAAGUAUCAAAAGCUUUAGAAAUGGUAAACCCCAGAAAUGACAAUAUGGCUCUAUUGAAAGGGAGCAAUUAUGGAUUAUGCACUGUACUCUUUUUUCCUUUUGAUCGAUUUUUGUCCCAUUGGGUUUCUCCGACUUAAGGUUUUUAAUGAGGCAAUCCAGAAGUGACAAUAUGACUCAAUUGAGGGUGAGAAAUUAUGGACUAUGCACUGUACUCUUUUUUCCUUAUAAUCAGUUUUUGUCCCACUGGGUUUUUCCAGCUUAAGGUUUUUAAUGAGGCAUUCCAAAAAGUGGCAAUAUGGCUCAAUUGAGGAGGAGCAAUUAUGAACUAUGCACUGUACUUUUUUUUUCUUUUAACUUGUUUUUAUCCCACUGAGUUUUUUCAGCUUAAGGUUUUUAAUGAGACGGUACAAUAGACAUUCAAUGGAGAAUGUUAUGAAUAUAUGUGAAUAUCUACAUUAUUUCAUAACAUCCAAUGAAUCUCUCCACAUCCAAUGUACAUAUUUAUAUUGGUACAUUCUUAUAUCUCGGUUUCAUUCAAUGUAUGUAUAUUUCUAUCUAUUAAAUUCAUCCCUUCUAUUUAUGUAAAUUCAUGUCCCCUCUAUCUAUGUGUGCCUAUAAAUAAAUGUAUUGUAGAUCUUCUUAGAACAAGAAAUGAAAUAGAAGAUCUUCUUACAUUCCAACUACUUCUUUCUAAUAUUCUCUUUCAAAGUUAUAUUUCACAAGAAGGGAAAUGAUAUAUCUAUUUUAAGAGAAUAAAAUAAAAUAGUUUAUAAUAUUAUUUUAAUAUUUUUUUAGAGAGAAGGGGAAUUUGAAUCCAUACUCUUUAAACAGGAAGAUCAUAUACUAAUUAAUGAGUCAAAUACUUAAGUGUAAUAUUAUUUUGAUUAUUGAUUGAUAAAAAUAAUUUUAAAAUAAUAAAAAAAUAAACGAUAAAAUGACAAAGUACAUUUUAUUAUAAUUUAAUAAAAUUUUCAAAGUUUUUGAUAUUCAUCGUCUUUUGAAAUAUGUUAUUAUUAAAUUAUAAAUUUAAUAAUAAUUUAAUAUUUUAUUAAAUAAAAUAUUAAUAAUUUAUAAUCAACAUAUUAAAAUUUAGUAUUAAAACAUUAAUAUAAUUUUUAUAUUAAUUUCUUGUUAGCUUUUAUAUAUAUAUUCAUUUUUUCUUUUUUAAUCUUUUAUUUUUAUUUUUAUUAAAAUUUUAAAAUAAUAAUCUAAUUGUUAGUACGAUUUGACGUUGGCAUCUUGAGCACUGAUCUCGCACUUCCUCACGGUUAGAUUUGACUGUGGGAGCUUUUCUUCUCCUGUGAUAAAGGUGAAAGGAAAAAAGAAGACAAGAUUUGGCAGUGUUGACGACGGAGGACGACAAGGUGGUUUUGAAGGAGGACAACUGUCGUGGAGCUUGCUUAAAGAGAGAAGGUGAGAGGUAGAUCAAGAAAAGAAAGAACGAAAAAGAGGAAAAAUUUUUUUAUAUGGUAGGGUUUGUAAUUUCUUAAAAUGAGUUGGUGUAUAUUUGUUAAAAAAUAUUUGGAUAAAAUAUCUUAAUUUUUUUAAAUUUUAAUCGAAAUUUUAAACGAAUUUAUUAAUUUUUAAAAUAGAUACUUUGCUUGAAGAGUGCAAAUGUUAUUAACAUAGGUUACGAGAAAACUAAAAUAUUUUUUUUAAUUUAAAAAAUUAUUAUUUUAUUUUUAAAAAAAUAAGGAGCACCGAGCUCCCCAAGAAAGAGGAGCACCAAGGGAUCGGUGCUCUCCAAAGAAAGGUGAGCUUUUUUUUUUAAAAUUAAUAAAAAAUUAAUAAAAUUAUAUAAUAAUAAUUUUAAAAAUUAAUCAAAAAUAAAAUUAUCUUUUUAUCCUUAUCACGUCAUCAAACUAACGAAAACAUUAUUGAUCGACCACCUACUGGACUUACUUGUCUAGUAAAAAAUAUUUUUUUGAGACGGAGUGUUUAUUUUGAAAAUUAAUUGAUUUUCGUAUAAUUUCGAUCAAAACUUAAAAGAAUAAGGGUAUUUUAUUCAAAAUAUUUGAACUUAACAAGGCAGAAAAAAAUUAAUACCAAGGAGAGUCAAAAUUAGUUAUUCUGUAUUUCUGGAAAAUGGUCAUUACUAUUCUUUGAUAAGAAAACCAACUAAAUAAAGUAAUAAAUUCAUCUAGGAACAAGUCAUUCUUGUCCAAACGAGCCGUCAAAAAAUAUAAAUGAAUAAAUGAACAAACAAAUAAAUAAAAAAUCCCUUUGAAAGUUUGAUUUUAAUUUUCUUAACAUUUUAUUUAGUUUGCGUUUCCAUUGAGUAUUAAUACUUAAUCAAGUUUAGUGCUUUAAAAUCUUAGCAGUCACCGAAGGAAUUUACAAAUCUCUCUUUGCAAGUGUACGGACAAAUGUCUAUGACCUUACAAUUCCUAAGGAUUUUUCAACGAGAAAAAGAGAAUUACGUCUAAGCUUACUAGGGAGUUGUAAGCAUAAAUAUCAUUCCAUUCUCAUUUACAAAAAUAACCAAUUGAGUUGUCUGAAACUUACUAGUUAAUUAAUUAUAAAUAGUUUUGACAAAAAUCCUUAACCAAUACAAUUAAAUCAAGUAGUUUAUGAUUAAUUACUGAUUGUUGAUUUUUAAAGAACAAGGGAUAAAUUAGUCUGCUUGACAUGAAAGAAUACCCCAUCCGAUAAUAGUCCAUUAAACCUGAUCUAAGGCAAACGAAUUGACAUGGUCCGAUGAUUUUUACUUCAUAUUUGAAAAUAAUCAUUCAAAUUGCCAAGGAACUGUGCUUCCAAUUACAUUCCAUUAAGUGAAAUCAAAACCAUUUUUUGGCAGGGAAUUUGGUCCUGAAUCCUUAAGCUGACAAAGUUGUACACUACAAGUAAUUGCAAAGGGUCCUGGAGCAAAUAUUUGAGCAUAAGAGGAAUCCACACAAGUGCCUAAGGAAUUGACCAUUCAAGGAAACAACAUUUAAUCUAAAUAUCUAUAAUGAAAGUGUUCUUAAUAGCAAUAGUUAAAAAUCAAACGAUUGAUUAAAACACUAUUUUGUCUUCAAGGGUUUAAAAACAACUCAAAAUCAAGAAAAUCACAUCCAAAAUUUGGAUGAUGCAAACAGUGCUUUAAAGCAAGGAAAUAAACUCUCUGCCUGAAUAUAUAUUUCUUCAAAAUAUAUAUGAAGCACUCAACGCUUCUUAGAGACACCGACAGUCUUCC
This 12464-nucleotide long non-coding RNA is filed under the name Theobroma cacao (cacao). RNAcentral describes it as "long non-coding RNA (TCAC_LNC004986)". Lineage: Eukaryota; Viridiplantae; Streptophyta; Magnoliopsida; Malvales; Malvaceae. The record is from RNAcentral.